CCGUCCCCUUCCGCUCUCCCCGCCCUGCGUCUCUGCCUUCUUACCCCGUCUGGCCUCGCGGCUCCCGGUUCGCUCCUCCGCUCCGCACCCUGCCCUGCUCUCCCGGACCGUCUUCUCCCGUGCGUUCCCUUCCACUCCCGACUCUCUCCCUUCACCUCUCCCUCCUUCUCCUUCCCCAGACGUCGUUCUCCCCGCCACCGUCUCCCCUCCCCGCCUCUCUCUCAGGGCCUCCCCCCAGCCUGUCUUCUCGGUCUCCCUUCCUCGUACCCCUCCUCAUUUCGUGUGUUUCCCCCUGCGCUUUCUCUUCCCUUCUUUCCUCCUGGCUCCCCUCUCCUGCUGGCUUCCAUCCCUUCUCUCCCCACCCCUUCAAUCUCUCUCCCUCUUUCCUCUCUCUCCUCUCUGAAUCUCUCUCUCCCCUCCCAGACUUCUCCCCUCGCACUGGCCUCCCUUCCUCUGAGCCUUGUCUCCCGGGAGGCCCCUCCACGCCCAGGCCCCCGCAGGGGCCCUGAGCUCCUCUCCCGUCUCCCUGCCUGAAGUCCUGAGCUGACAUCCACCUGGGGAUCUGUGCCGCGUUGGUGGCAAGAGGUUGCACAGCCCGAAGCAGGGCUGCGAAGCCUGCGGCCCCCCGAGGUGCAAGGGCACGUGUGACACCCUUUUUCUCUCUCUUUUCUGUCUGUCCUGGACCCUGGACACUGCCCGGAGGAAGGAGGCCUGCCCCUGGCCCAGGAAGGAGGAAACGAGGAGCUGACCAGAGACCGGGAGUGAGUUGCCUGGAGACCACAGCAUGCGACAUGGAGCGUGGGAGGACCUCACCCGACUCCCAUUUCACGGAUGAGAACACAGGCACCGGUGUUCCCGAAGAUCAGCAUCUGCUAGGACAGAGGCUUCGUGGGGACCCCGGCCUUCCCAAAGGGCCAACAGCACCCCCCGCAGGGCACUUCUCUUCGUGGAGAGGGGCCAUGUGGGCCUGACCUCCCCAGAGUAUCCGGCGGAGUAUCCUGUGGGCCUGGGAGGUAUUCUCCGGCGGCGCGAAACCUUUUAUCGCCGCCUACUGAUAAAGGACGGAACUGCAACCCGGCUGGAUUAGGCACCGUGAAUGGCCGCGAAAAAC
Long non-coding RNA from Herpailurus yagouaroundi (jaguarundi), 1111 nucleotides. RefSeq lists it as uncharacterized. NCBI's taxonomy places the organism in Eukaryota, Metazoa, Chordata, Mammalia, Carnivora, Felidae. The transcript has 2 exons. The record is from RefSeq and is a predicted model, not a curated record.